Molecule: ribosomal RNA, 565 nt
Filed under: uncultured bacterium
Lineage: Bacteria
Description: bacterial SSU rRNA
Rfam family: Bacterial small subunit ribosomal RNA
Source: RNAcentral
CCUACGGGAGGCAGCAGUGGGGAAUCUUGCGCAAUGGGCGAAAGCCUGACGCAACAACGCCGCGUGCGGGAUGAAGGCCUUCGGGUUGUAAACCGCUUUUAACAGGAACGAAAAUGACGGUACCUGUAGAAUAAGGUGCGGCCAACUACGUGCCAGCAGCCGCGGUGACACGUAGGCACCAAGCGUUGUCCGGAUUUAUUGGGCGUAAAGAGCUCGUAGGCGGUUCGAUAAGUCGGGUGUGAAAACUCUGGGCUUAACCCAGAGACGCCACUCGAUACUAUUGUGACUAGAGUUCGGUAGGGGAGCGGGGAAUUCCUAGUGUAGCGGUGAAAUGCGCAGAUAUUAGGAGGAACACCGGUGGCGAGGGCGCCGCUCUGGGCCGAAACUGACGCUGAGGAGCGAAAGCGUGGGUAGCAAACAGGAUUAGAUACCCUGGUAGUCCACGCCGUAAACGGUGGGCGCUAGGUGUGGGCUCCAACCAACGGAGUCCGCGCCGUCGCUAACGCAUUAAGUGCCCCGCCUGGGGAGUACGGCCGCAAGGUUAAAACUUAAAGGAAAUUGACGG